This 1086-nucleotide long non-coding RNA is filed under the name Gallus gallus (chicken). RNAcentral describes it as "long non-coding RNA NONGGAT002074". The record is from RNAcentral. Lineage: Eukaryota; Metazoa; Chordata; Aves; Galliformes; Phasianidae.
GUUUUGCAAGGCCGGUAGUUUGAGGUACACUUCAGGUACACUUCAACGUUACCUCCCUUUUCAGUUCUGCAUGUGGAAACGGCUCAUGGUCAGAGAUGGGGAGCCAUUACAGAGAUGCAGAUCAACUCAGCAGUCACUCAGUGAGCAUUGGUUGGAGCAGUGAGGAACCCAUCAAAAAAUGAACCAUGGAUUCUGCUGCCAUUUGGAAGUACUGCCUCAGAACUCUGUGAACAUUUGUGAUGGAUCAACAGGCAUCUCAGGCUGUUGCACGUCAGCCGCAUCUGUGGAAGUCUGGAGCACGCUGUCAGGAGGACAGCAAUGAAUGUACAGCUGUACCACUUUAAUAUCAGAUGGGGCCGGCAGGUACGCUCAUGACGGAGAGAUGUGCUGCAGAAUUCCACCAAUUGUUUCAGGAAUGCACAUGCUAUUCUGUUACGCAACGAAAACCCAAGGAAGGCAAGGAUGCAUUACGUCUGAAUCAGAGUUAAGUGCAGAACGAACGGGUCCUGUUCAAAACAUCCCGUUACUGUGGUUUAUACAAAGAAUCUUCAAAUCCUGUUGCACCAGUGCAACAACUGCUGUUGCUUCCCCCUGCUCCAGGACUGAGUUUGCUGAUGGAGUUGCACUGUGCUAGAAAGCCACCCCACCCUCCAGAGAAGUAUUAGUUCCGUGAAGUACUUGUUCCAGCAUUCACAAAACCUAACAGCAGUCUAUCUUCUGCACCCUUUAAGUUAAGCACUGAAAAGGGUGACAGAAUGUGUAGUAGGCAUCAGAACAACAGAAAUUUAACUCCACAGAGGCUCAAAUUUAGUGAAUUCAGUAAUUUAUUCCAUCCUCCUUUGUGUGCACCUGCCAUAAAUUGGGUAUCUGUAUACACCAUUCCAUUAUCUUCAACCCCCCUGCAAAUACAUAGUUAUGACAGACACUCAGAAUGGUCAGACUGCUGUUGUACAGCCCUUCUAAUCAGAGCGAGGUGGUGCACUGUGAGAGACUGAUGGGAGCUCCAGGGCAGGUCUUCCAGCUGAAUGGGACUUUGCCCCAUGUUAAUUGCAUUCCUGCUUUUGCAGUUUUAUUUGCAGGACCUGC